GACGAACGCUGGCGGCGCGCCUAACACAUGCAAGUCGAACGGAGCUUGCUUGUCAGAUCCUUUCGGGGUGACGACUUGUAAGCUUAGUGGCGAACGGGUGAGUAACACGUGAGUAACCUGCCCCAGAGUGGGGGACAACAGUUGGAAACGACUGCUAAUACCGCAUAAUGUUAUUUAGGGGCAUCCCUGAAUAACCAAAGCUUUAUGUGCUGAAAGAUGGUCUCGCGUCUGAUUAGCUAGAUGGCGGGGUAACGGCCCACCAUGGCGACGAUCAGUAGCCGGUCUGAGAGGAUGGACGGCCACAUUGGGACUGAGAUACGGCCCAG
RNAcentral lists this ribosomal RNA (326 nucleotides) under uncultured bacterium. RNAcentral's name for it is "bacterial SSU rRNA". It matches the Rfam family "Bacterial small subunit ribosomal RNA", at positions 28 to 334 of the family's 1533-position model. The record is from RNAcentral.